AUUGAACGCUGGCGGCAGGCUUAACACAUGCAAGUCGAGCGAGCGGCGGACGGGUGAGUAAUGUCUGGGAAACUGCCUGAUGGAGGGGGAUAACUACUGGAAACGGUAGCUAAUACCGCAUACCAUCUGAUGUGCCCAGAUGGGAUUAGCUAGUAGGUGGGGUAAUGGCUCACCUAGGCGACGUUCCCUAGCUGGUCUGAGAGGAUGACCAGCCACACUGUACCUGAGACACGGUCCAGACUCCGGCGGGAGGCAGCAGUGGGGAAUAUUGCCCGAUGGGCGCAAGCCUGAUGCAGCCAUGCCGCGUGUGUGAAGAAGGCCUUCGGGUUGUAAAGCACUUUCAGCGAGGAGGCGUUACUCGCAGAAGAAGCACCGGCUAACUCCGUGCCAGCCGCCGCGGUAAUUC
RNAcentral lists this ribosomal RNA (406 nucleotides) under uncultured bacterium. RNAcentral describes it as "partial 16S ribosomal RNA". It matches the Rfam family "Bacterial small subunit ribosomal RNA", at positions 30 to 526 of the family's 1533-position model. The record is from RNAcentral.